AUCUAUCUAGUAUAGUUCGUAUAAUUGACUUCCAAUCAAAAGGCCUGAAAAAUUUCAGGAUAGAUA
Molecule: transfer RNA, 66 nt
Filed under: Isoptena serricornis
Lineage: Eukaryota; Metazoa; Arthropoda; Insecta; Plecoptera; Chloroperlidae
Description: tRNA-Gly
Source: RNAcentral